RNAcentral lists this ribosomal RNA (550 nucleotides) under uncultured bacterium. RNAcentral describes it as "bacterial SSU rRNA". It matches the Rfam family "Bacterial small subunit ribosomal RNA", at positions 355 to 896 of the family's 1533-position model. The record is from RNAcentral.
UAGGGAAUCUUCGGCAAUGGACGGAAGUCCGACCGAGCAACGCCGCGUGAGUGAAGAAGGUUUUCGGAUCGUAAAGCUCUGUUGUAAGAGAAGAACGAGUGUGAGAGUGGAAAGUUCACACUGUGACGGUAUCUUACCAGAAAGGGACGGCUAACUACGUGCCGGCAGCCGCGGUAAUACGUAGGUCCCGAGCGUUGUCCGGAUUUAUUGGGCGUAAAGCGAGCGCAGGCGGUUAGAUAAGUCUGAAGUUAAAGGCUGUGGCUUAACCAUAGUAGGCUUUGGAAACUGUUUAACUUGAGUGCAAGAGGGGAGAGUGGAAUUCCAUGUGUAGCGGUGAAAUGCGUAGAUAUAUGGAGGAACACCGGUGGCGAAAGCGGCUCUCUGGCUUGUAACUGACGCUGAGGCUCGAAAGCGUGGGGAGCAAACAGGAUUAGAUACCCUGGUAGUCCACGCUGUAAACGAUGAGUGCUAGGUGUUAGACCCUUUCCGGGGUUUAGUGCCGUAGCUAACGCAUUAAGCACUCCGCCUGGGGAGUACGACCGCAAGGUUG